UACGUAGGGGGCUAGCGUUGUCCGGAAUCAUUGGGCGUAAAGCGCGUGUAGGCGGUCCGGUAAGUCCGCUGUGAAAGUCAAGGGCUCAACCCUCGAAUGCCGGUGGAUACUGUCGGGCUUGAGUACGGGAGAGGCGAGUGGAAUUCCUGGUGUAGCGGUGAAAUGCGCAGAUAUCAGGAGGAACACCGAUUGCGAAGGCAGCUCGCUGGAACGUUACUGACGCUGAGACGCGAAAGCGUGGGGAGCAAACAGG
Molecule: ribosomal RNA, 253 nt
Filed under: uncultured bacterium
Lineage: Bacteria
Description: partial 16S ribosomal RNA
Rfam family: Bacterial small subunit ribosomal RNA
Source: RNAcentral